This 253-nucleotide ribosomal RNA is filed under the name uncultured bacterium. RNAcentral's name for it is "partial 16S ribosomal RNA". It matches the Rfam family "Bacterial small subunit ribosomal RNA", at positions 524 to 776 of the family's 1533-position model. The record is from RNAcentral.
UACAGAGGGGGCAAGCGUUGUUCGGAAUUCCUGGGCGUAAAGGGCGCGUAGGCGGCCUGCUAAGUCGAACGUGAAAUCCCUGGGCUCAACCCAGGAACUGCGUCCGAUACUGGUUGGCUUGAAUCCGGGAGAGGGACGUGGAAUUCCAGGUGUAGCGGUGAAAUGCGUAGAUAUCUGGAGGAACACCGGUGGCGAAGGCGACGUCCUGGACCGGCAUUGACGCUGAGGCGCGAAAGCCAGGGGAGCAAACGGG